CAGACUCCUACGGGAGGCAGCAGUGAGGAAUAUUGGUCAAUGGCCGUAAGGCUGAACCAGCCAAGUCGCGUGAAGGAAGAAGGAUCUCUGGUUUGUAAACUUCUUUUAUAGGGGAAUAAAGGUAUCCACGUGUGGAUAUUUGCAUGUACCCUAUGAAUAAGCACCGGCUAACUCCGUGCCAGCAGCCGCGGUAAUACGGGGGGUGCAAGCGUUGUCCGGAAUCAUUGGGCGUAAAGAGUUCGUAGGCGGCACGUAAAGUCUGGUGUUAAAGGCAGAGGCUCAACUUCUGUACGGCACUGGAUACUUGCGAGCUAGAAUGCGGUAGAGGUAAAGGGAAUUCCUGGUGUAGCGGUGAAAUGCUUAGAUAUCAGGAGGAACAUCGGUGGCGUAAGCGCUUUACUGGGCCGUAAUUGACGCUGAGGAACGAAAGCCAGGGUAGCAAAUGGGAUUAGAUACCCCCGUAC
This 464-nucleotide ribosomal RNA is filed under the name uncultured bacterium. Its description in RNAcentral is "partial 16S ribosomal RNA". It matches the Rfam family "Bacterial small subunit ribosomal RNA", at positions 332 to 793 of the family's 1533-position model. The record is from RNAcentral.